ACCAGACUCCUACGGGAGGCAGCAGUGGGGAAUAUUGCACAAUGGGGGAAACCCUGAUGCAGCGACGCCGCGUGAGUGAAGAAGUAAUUCGUUAUGUAAAGCUCUAUCAGCAGGGAAGAAAAUGACGGUACCUGAGUAAGAAGCCCCGGCUAACUACGUGCCAGCAGCCGCGGUAAUACGGAGGGUGCGAGCGUUAUCCGGAUUUACUGGGUGUAAAGGGAGCGUAGACGGCCAUGCAAGCUCGGUGUGAAAGGUGCGGGCACAACCCGCAGACUGCACUGAGAACUGUAUGGCUGGAGUGCCGGAGGGGCAGGCGGAAUUCCUGGUGUAGCGGUGAAAUGCGUAGAUAUCAGGAGGAACACCGGUGGCGAAGGCGGCCUGCUGGACGGCGACUGACGUUGAGGCUCGAAAGCGUGGGGAGCAAACAGGAUUAGAUACCCCUGUAUC
RNAcentral lists this ribosomal RNA (447 nucleotides) under uncultured bacterium. Its description in RNAcentral is "bacterial SSU rRNA". It matches the Rfam family "Bacterial small subunit ribosomal RNA", at positions 330 to 794 of the family's 1533-position model. The record is from RNAcentral.